This is a long non-coding RNA of Capra hircus (goat), 466 nucleotides long. RefSeq lists it as uncharacterized. NCBI's taxonomy places the organism in Eukaryota, Metazoa, Chordata, Mammalia, Artiodactyla, Bovidae. The transcript has 3 exons. The record is from RefSeq and is a predicted model, not a curated record.
GAUGUUCUGGAAGUUCACGAUGGACCAAAUCUUCUGUCACCCUUGCUUGGAUCUUACAAUGGCACACAGGUGCCCCAGUUUCUAUUUAGCAGCAGUAAUUUUAUAUACCUUCUAUUUACAACAGACAAUAGUCGUUCUAAUAAUGGUUUCAAGAUUCAUUAUGAAAGUGUUACAGUGAACACCUAUUCUUGCUUGGAUCCUGGCAUACCUGUACAUGGUCGUCGCUAUGGUCAUGAUUUCUCCAUUGGAUCUACUGUUUCCUUUAGUUGUGAUCCUGGAUACAGGCUGAGCCAUGAAGAGCCCCUUCUGUGUGAGAAAAACCACUGGUGGAGUCAUUCACUUCCAACCUGUGAUGCAUUAUGUGGAGGAGAUGUUAGAGGGCCUAGUGGAACAAUCUUAUCACCCGGUUACCCAGAAUUUUAUCCAAAUUCUCUGAAUUGUACAUGGACUGUUGAUGUAACCCAUG